UGCGUAGGCGGUUUGUUAAGUCACAGGUGAAAGUUUUCGGCCCAACCGGAAAAUUGCCUGCGAUACUGGCGAACUUGAGUGCGUGAGGGGUAGGGGGAACGAGCAGUGUAGCGGUGAAAUGCGUAGAUAUUGCUCGGAAGGCCGGAGCCGAAGGGGCCCUACUGGUGCGCAACUGACGCUGAUGCACGAAAGCGUGGGGAGCAAACG
RNAcentral lists this ribosomal RNA (207 nucleotides) under uncultured bacterium. RNAcentral describes it as "partial 16S ribosomal RNA". It matches the Rfam family "Bacterial small subunit ribosomal RNA", at positions 568 to 774 of the family's 1533-position model. The record is from RNAcentral.